UGAGGGAAUAUUGGGUCAAUGGGGCGAGAGCCUGAACCAGCCAAGUCGCGUGAGGGAUGACGGCCCUACGGGUUGUAAACCUCUUUUAUAAGGGAAUAAAGGACAUCACGCGUGGUGUUUUGCAUGUACCUUAUGAAUAAGCAUCGGCUAACUCCGUGCCAGCAGCCGCGGUAAUACGGAAGGUCCGGGCGUUAUCCGGAUUUAUUGGGUUUAAAGGGAGCGUAGGCCGGAGAUUAAGCGUGUUGUGAAAUGUAGACGCUCAACGUCUGCACUGCAGCGCGAACUGGUUUCCUUGAGUACGCACAAAGUGGGCGGAAUUCGUGGUGUAGCGGUGAAAUGCUUAGAUAUCACGAAGAACUCCGAUUGCGAAGGCAGCUCACUGGAGCGCAACUGACGCUGAAGCUCGAAAGUGCGGGUAUCG
Molecule: ribosomal RNA, 421 nt
Filed under: uncultured Prevotella sp.
Lineage: Bacteria; Pseudomonadati; Bacteroidota; Bacteroidia; Bacteroidales; Prevotellaceae
Description: bacterial SSU rRNA
Rfam family: Bacterial small subunit ribosomal RNA
Source: RNAcentral